AUAUGUAUAACCAACAACAUAGCAAUAGAAUUAUCAUACCAGAAUCAUUUCUAUUCCGGAUUCUACACUCAGUACCUAGACCACACUACCUAGUCUCUAGUGCCCAUACCCUAGACCAAGUUGAAACAGCUCCAUAUUUUCAUCAACUCGCAAGUAGCCAUGAGAAGAAGGAAGAAUGAGUUAUUUUUAUCAUAGAAAAGAAAUGAAAUGAAAAGAAAAGCAGAAGAAUGAUGCUGCAAAAUGAUAUCAAAAGCUUUACCAACGCAGGUCAGCAGUUAGAAGACCAACAUAGUAAGCAGGAAGCACAGAGUAGCGAAGAGUAAAAGACCCUCUAAGGAAACGUACAGACUACAGAAAAAUAAUACCAUGAAUACGAAAAAUGAGAAGUGGCAGAGGUGAAUUACCAGGGGUGAGUUUAAUUAUGGGGUUUCAUACUUUGACAAGUUGUUGUUUCCCUUGUGUAGUUGGAGCUUGUGUGUUAUCAAUGCACUACUUUCUCCUUCAUUUGAGUCUUCCACUUAGCCCUGCAAAUGCAAUGAAACUCGGGAUCAUUCACCAUUUCCAUCUUAUAUGAAACACAAUAAAGAAUAAAUACAACAUCAACGUUUUAGUUUAUCAUACCUUCUGAUCAGAUACAUGGUUUCUGCCUUUCUGCACUGAUCCUUUAUUCUUCUACCUGAAUGUUCACCCUAGACGCUACACCCUGGCAACUAGUACAUAAAUUACCCUUAACCCCAAUACCUGCCCAGUAAGUUACAAAAGCAGGUCAGCAGUUAGAAGACCAACAUAGUAAGCAGGAAGCACAGAGUAGCGAAGAGUAAAAGACCCUCUAAGGAAACGUACAGACUACAGAAAAAUAAUACCAUGAAUACGAAAAAUGAGAAGUGGCAGAGGUGAAUUACCAGGGAUGAGUUGAAUUUUGGGGUUUCAUACGUUGACAAGUUGUUGUUUCCCUUGUGCAGUUGGAGCUUGUGUGUUAUCAAUGCACUACUUUCUCCUUCAUUUGAGUCUUCCACUUAGCCCUGCAAAUGCAAUGAAACUCGGGAUCAUCCACCAUUUCCAUCUUAUAUGAAACACAAUAAAGAAUAAAUACAACAUCAACGUUUUAGUUUAUCAUACCUUCUGAUCAGAUACAUGGUUUCUGCCUUUCUGCACUGAUCCUUUAUUCUUCUACCUGAAUGUUCACCCUAGACGCUACACCCUGGCAACUAGUACAUAAAUUACCCUUAACCCCAAUACCUGCCCAGUAAGUUACAAAAGCAGGUCAGCAGUUAGAAGACCAACAUAGUAAGGAGGAAGCACACAGUAGCGAAGAGUAAAAGACCUACAAACUACAACGGAAAAAAUACCAUCAGAAGAAUAGGAAGAAUGACAAGUGGCAGAGGUGAAUUACCAGGGACGAGUUUGAUUUUGGGACUUCCAUAGCUUUGACAAGAUGAUGUUUCCCCUAUAAAGUUGCAGCUUGUGUGUUAUCAAUGCAUGCACCACUAUCAUCUGCAACAUGUCCACAAGUAUUGAAGAGAAGGACGGGGGAAACAGGAAAGAUAUCACUGAAAUUCUUAUGAAGACCAACAUAGUAAGGAGGAAGCACACAGUAGCGAAGAGUAAAAGACCUACAAACUACAACGGAAAAAAUACCAUCAGAAGAAUAGGAAGAAUGACAAGUGGCAGAGGUGAAUUACCAGGGACGAGUUUGAUUUUGGGACUUCCAUAGCUUUGACAAGAUGAUGUUUCCCCUAUAAAGUUGCAGCUUGUGUGUUAUCAAUGCAUGCACCACUAUCAUCUGCAACAUGUCCACAAGUAUUGAAGAGAAGGACGGGGGAAACAGGAAAGAUAUCACUGAAAUUCUUAUGAAGACCAACAUAGUAAGGAGGAAGCACACAGUAGCGAAGAGUAAAAGACCUACAAACUACAACGGAAAAAAUACCAUCAGAAGAAUAGGAAGAAUGACAAGUGGCAGAGGUGAAUUACCAGGGAUGAGUUGAAUUUUGGGGUUUCAUACGUUGACAAGUUGUUGUUUCCCUUGUGCAGUUGGAGCUUGUGUGUUAUCAAUGCACUACUUUCUCCUUCAUUUGAGUCUUCCACUUAGCCCUGCAAAUGCAAUGAAACUCGGGAUCAUCCACCAUUUCCAUCUUAUAUGAAACACAAUAAAGAAUAAAUACAACAUCAACGUUUUAGUUUAUCAUACCUUCUGAUCAGAUACAUGGUUUCUGCCUUUCUGCACUGAUCCUUUAUUCUUCUACCUGAAUGUUCACCCUAGACGCUACACCCUGGCAACUAGUACAUAAAUUACCCUUAACCCCAAUACCUGCCCAGUAAGUUACAAAAGCAGGUCAGCAGUUAGAAGACCAACAUAGUAAGCAGGAAGCACAGAGUAGCGAAGAGUAAAAGACCCUCUAAGGAAACGUACAGACUACAGAAAAAUAAUACCAUGAAUACGAAAAAUGAGAAGUGGCAGAGGUGAAUUACCAGGGGUGAGUUUAAUUAUGGGGUUUCAUACUUUGACAAGUUGUUGUUUCCCUUGUGCAGUUGGAGCUUGUGUGUUAUCAAUGCACUACUUUCUCCUUCAUUUGAGUCUUCCACUUAGC
This 2588-nucleotide long non-coding RNA is filed under the name Linum usitatissimum (flax). RNAcentral describes it as "long non-coding RNA (LUSI_LNC004596)". The record is from RNAcentral. Lineage: Eukaryota; Viridiplantae; Streptophyta; Magnoliopsida; Malpighiales; Linaceae.